AUUGAACGCUGGCGGCAUGCUUUACACAUGCAAGUCGAACGGUAACAGGCCGCCAGGUGCUGACGAGUGGCGAACGGGUGAGUAAUGCAUCGGAACGUGCCCAGUCGUGGGGGAUAACUACUCGAAAGAGUAGCUAAUACCGCAUACGAUCUAUGGAUGAAAGCGGGGGACCGUAAGGCCUCGCGCGAUUGGAGCGGCCGAUGUCAGAUUAGGUAGUUGGUGGGGUAAAGGCUCACCAAGCCAACGAUCUGUAGCUGGUCUGAGAGGACAACCAGCCACACUGGGACUGAGACACGGCCCAGACUCCUACGGGAGGCAGCAGUGGGGAAUUUUGGACAAUGGGCGCAAGCCCGAUCCAGCAAUGCCGCGUGCAGGAAGAAGGCCUUCGGGUUGUAAACUGCUUUUGUACGGAACGAAACGGCUCUGGUUAAUACCCGGGGCUAAUGACGGUACCGUAAGAAUAAGCACCGGCUAACUACGUG
This 482-nucleotide ribosomal RNA is filed under the name uncultured bacterium. RNAcentral describes it as "partial 16S ribosomal RNA". It matches the Rfam family "Bacterial small subunit ribosomal RNA", at positions 30 to 507 of the family's 1533-position model. The record is from RNAcentral.